This 196-nucleotide ribosomal RNA is filed under the name uncultured bacterium. Its description in RNAcentral is "partial 16S ribosomal RNA". It matches the Rfam family "Bacterial small subunit ribosomal RNA", at positions 338 to 525 of the family's 1533-position model. The record is from RNAcentral.
UCUACGGGAGGCAGCAGUAGGGAAUCUUCCGCAAUGGACGAAAGUCUGACGGAGCAACGCCGCGUGAGUGAUGAGGGUUUUCGGAUCGUAAAGCUCUGUUGUUAGGGAAGAACAAGUACCGUUCGAAUAGGGCGGUACCUUGACGGUACCUAACCAGAAAGCCACGGCUAACUAGGUGCCAGCAGCCGCGGUAAUA